UUUACUCUUUAGCUUCAGCCUUCUCUUUAUUCCCAAAUCUGACUGAAAUCUCUCCAUCUCGAACCUUUGUGACUCAGUAAGUUGCCGAUCUCUCCAUCUCCAUCUCCAUCUCGAACCUUUGUCUCCGUCCAUCUCAAAGCUUUGUCACUCCAUCUCCCUUCGUAAGUUACCGAUCUCCAUUCGUAAGUCGCCGACUCCAAGUCUCCAACUCCAGAAUCAAAAAAAUUCUUAGGUAAUUUUGAGUUUAUUUUGAGAUUUAGUCAAUUGAUUUAUCUUUAUUUAUGUCGAUUUGUCUAUAUAUGGCAUAUGGGUGUUUAUUGUUUACUUGUUUAGGGCUUUUUUGUUGAUGAUCUGUUUAUUUUGUUGGUGGUUUGUUUAUUUGAUGUAUAUAUUUAUUUAAUUCUUUUUCAGCAUCAUUCCAUUGUCCUCUAGACUCUAGUUAUCAUGUGUGUGCCCCUGCUCAUAAUUUUGAACAAUUGCAAUUUGCAAAGAGAUUAAUAAUAAGGGAAUUUUUGUGUGGAAUCAGAGGCGGAACUGGGGGGCGGGGGGCAUCUGACCCCGGUAGCAGAGGCGGCUCGGCCGAAUUAGGGGGAGCCGGGGGCGGGGAGGGGGCAGCCACUGCCGUCUGCUUGGCUGGAAGUCAUGGCCUUUCGGCGACUUCUUGUCUCCUUCAGCGGCGGGCGGCGGCUCAUCUUCUUCUUUGUUAAGACGUUGACUAUGUACAGUGUACUAAAAGAAGAAAAAAUAUUAUAAGUAUGGAUGCAUGGGAAUCAAUAGUCUUUUUUCUCAUGAAUAUAGGGGAGAUAAUCUUGUAGGAGUAUAAAUAUUACUUGUAAAAAUAACAAUCUCUUGUAAUUAUUAAAGAUAUGAAAACUAAAUUUAAAAAAAGAGACGCGAAAGGUGAGGGACAUUUCACACUUUUGUUUGAGUUGUCCUUUAUAAUAACAUUGUCUUAAAAACACUUUUUUAUACUUGGGUGUAUUUAAUUAUGCAAAACGACUUUAUUUAUAGAUAAUUUAUGCUGAGCCUUUCACUUUUCUUUGUCAUAAUGUUUAUAUAAAAACAAACUUAGCAUGUAUGGGGAAGAUAAAUCAAAUUAGAUAAAAUGGAGCAACAUUUUUGGAUGAACCAAAAAAAUAUCAAAUCUAAGAAAUAUUCAACUCAUGAUUUAUAUCGUAAAACUUUAAAAGUUAGGAUAACGUUAGAAGUUCUAAUUUUUUGGUUUCAAAUUGCGGAAGUUUGACAAUCAUUUUUUUAUAUUGAUAUUUUUAAUAUUUCUACAUAAAAAGUGUCGUUAUAGAUAUAUACAAAAAUGUUUUGAAAAUGAUAUUAAAAUUAUAGUUGUUUCAAAUGCUAGUCAUUUUCAUUUAGUUUCUUAGAUAUGAAAUGUAAUUGCUUACUUGCGUUGCUUUAAAUGGUCUUUCUCACUAAAUUUUAAAUCUUCAUACAAUUUUAUACUAUAAAAUCAGGUAAAUAAUUAUGAAAUUGCGUGAGAAAUUAUUCUAUUUACAUGAGAUUCUCUAUUGCCUCUCAAAUACUUAUAUGUGAGUGAUUAGUAAAUAUCCUUGCAUAUAUACACAAAUGCCACAUUUUACUAAAUUUUAUUUUAUUUUUAUGUAUAGCUGAAAGGAUUCCGUAAUAUACAAUUCAAAAACCAAUCAAGGCAUCAAGGCCAACUUUAAACAUGAAAACUAUGUAAAAGUUAAAUGAUUAUUUUCAUAAAGAAAAUUUAAUAUUUCGACAAGUUUUUACUCAUAUAAAUGUGAAUUUCACUUUUAUUAAUAAAAACCUAUAUGCGGACAUGAUAAUUGGAUAUAAAAAUUAGACAGUUUCACUUAUUUGUAUAACACUCAUGGACAAAUAUCAUGUCCACUGUGAAAUCUUGUCAAAAUACAAAUAGGUAAAUUGUAAAGCACUUAUGUCCAAUUUUCAUGUUCAAUUAUCAUGUCCCCAUAGAGAACUGUGAAAUCUUAUAAAAAUAUCAAGUUUUUUUACGGAAAUAUCAAUUCCCUUAUUAAAUUAGUCUCAAUACUUAAAAGUAUAAGAACAAAAUAUUUUUUUAAAAAAAUAUACAGAUACAACUUACAAGUCUUAUUUUUUUAAGAAAAUAAAUUAUAUUAUUAACGUUUACAGUUUUAGUAACUACUCGCUCAACUGAAAAGUCAAAUUCUGCAUUGGAAAAUGACACUCAGAGCCUACAAAUUUUUGAGGCAAAAAGGUAUUAAGCGCCUAUUCAGGAUCUUCUUAUUUUAAAUGGCUUAUAAGUUAAAAUAUAAGUUGAUUUAUAAGUAAUUUUAUAUUGUGACUUAUAAGUAAAAGUGUUCGGCAUCAAUUUGACUUAUAAGUCAAAAAUUAAGUUAAAACAAGUUAUGAAGGUGUUCGACUCAUAAUGACUUAUAAGUUAAAAUAAUAUAAAGAUUACUAAAAAUGACAUUAGUAAAAAGAAGGGCAAACUAGACAUUAUAUUUGGUCAAACUAACUUAUUUUAAAAUGAGUUAUAAGUUAUUUUAAAAUAAGUCACAAAUAGGUACUUAUUUUUUUUACUUAAAAACCAACUUAUAAGUUAAAAAAUAAGUACUUAUCAAAUACUCAAACUUAUAAAUUGGUUUGACCAACUUAUAAGUCACAACCGAAUACCUCCCAAGUCCCAUUAAAAUUUUAAAAUAUGACAUUAAAAAAAUCCAAGAAAAUAAUGUGGAAUCAAAUAAGUGGUGUGGAUAUAAUAUACAAAUGCUAAAACUGAGGUAGAAAUAUUUAUUAAUAAUAAUCUUAAAAUAAUAAAAAAAAAUUAAAAUAUGUAUAAACUUAAAAUAGUAAGAUAAACAAAUUAUAUCUCAUAACCUAUUAAAAUUUAAUUGACUCGGCCUUCAUCUUCAACCAAAGCAAUCAAUAUCAAUUGCGAAGUCGAAUUAGAUGCAGCCAAAGCAUGGUUGGUUUGUAAAAUCAAAUGAAUCAAUUACCCAACAAAAGCCUUAAAUUGAACCAUGAAUUUCUUCCUCUUUGACUCAUAUUUGAAAAAGAAGAAUUUAAAGAAAAUAUGUAAAAUCAUAAAGAUGAUGAGUUUCUUCAAUUCUCUCUCCUCAUAGUCGAACAAAGUUGCUCUUCAUCUUCUCCCAAGUCAGGCUUCUUCUUCUCAGAGGCGGAACUAGGGCGGCGGGGGCGGGGGCAUCUAACCCCGGUAGCAGAGGCGGCUCAGGCCGAAUUUGGGGGAGCCGGGGCAGCCACUGCCGUCUGGUUGGCUGGAAGUCAUGGCCUUUCGGCGACUUCUUGUCUCCUUCAGCGGCGGGCGGCGGCUCAUCUUCUUCUUUGUUAAGACGUUGACACAGGUUUUUUUUUAGUAACAUGAAACGACGUCGUUUCAUUAAAAAAAAAUCUAAUCUCUUAGGACUUAUCAGGGCCAUCAGGUAGAAUUUGAAAUUAGGGCUCUUUCCCUUCACUCUCUCUGCCGCCGAUUGAAGGACUGCUCCUCUGCCUCUCAGCCUGAUGGCCUCUGUAUAUAUAUUAGAUUAUUGUAAGUAUAUCUAAUAUCUUUAUGUAUUCUGUUAAUCAUUGAUGAAAUAAAUUGUUGAAAUUUUCUUUUUAAAUGGGCGGUGGUUCAUGGUUGUAUUAAAAUUACUUGUUGACAUUUUAUUGAAUAAAGAAUACUAACCUUGGUACAAUUCUUAAGUUCUUACCGAGGUUCCUUAAUAGAUCUUUAUAUUAUUCUUCAUCUAAUUUGAUUACCUUUUUAUUUUUAUUUUUAUUUUUUUUUCUCAAGCAAAUUAUAAAAGUUUGUAUUAUUAUUUAGGGAUCCUAAAAUUAUUAAAUUUUAUGUUUGUUUUGAACUCAUAAUCUUCAAAAAUCUGAUGGGAAAAAAAGUAAAUAUUCUAUUGUUUGAAUACAUAUUAAACUCAAUUGAUGUUAAAAUGCUAACUAAAUAGUUUGAUUGGUAAAACAUGACUGGAUUAGUGGAUUUCACAUUUGAUUCGAUCUGUUUUGGUUCAUUGUUUUUAAUUUUUAUUUUGUAUUUUAUGAAUCUUUCAGUUCCACUUAGUGUGAAACCCGGGAAGCCUGUAUUGGAACCCUUUUAUCAAGACAGUAGGCUGCUUCAUUGCUUCAAUCCUGCUUGGUCCUUCCUUUGAACUUUAGUAAUUUCUAAAUUUUAAUUUAGGUUAUGUUUUUCAAUUGUUAGGUUAAUUGAAAUUAUUAAAUUAGGUUAAUUGAUGAAAUUAUGAUGAAAUGUUUGAAAGAAGCACUUCUAGCGUCAAUAAAUAAAAAUUUUUUACUGAUGUAUUUUGACCCCCUAUGAAAAUGUUUUGGUUCCCUCACUGCUUCUUCUUCAUCUCUAAACAAAACCAAGAUGCGAAAGAAGAAAGUAUCCAAACUUUUGUAUUAUUCUAAUAAAUGUUUUAAUUUUCUAAUUUUCUAUUUUUUUUCUUCUUCUUUUGCCAAGUCAGUAAUGGUUUUCAUUUUUCUCAUUUUAUUUGCACAGACACGUAAAUAAAAUUUGACGCCCGUCCAACAAAUUUACCGAAAUGGUCCAAUUAAUAAUUUUUAAAAAGUUUAGUGUGUUAAUUCCAUUUUUUUUAAGUUUAGUAGGGGUACUGUUUAAAGAGGAAGGAUCAAUAGCACUUCUCUUAUCUAGCAUUCCUUUAUUAAAAUUACAUCGUUUUGGAGAUUUUUUUAAAAAAGCAGUGGGGCCGCGGGUGACAUUUUAUGCACGUGGGACCAUUCUCUUUUAAGAAUCUCCAAAACUAGUAAUUUUAAUAAAUAAGUGUUAUUUAAGGAGGAGUGCUAGAUUUAGAGUGAUCCUUGUGGACAACUAAUUACCCCUUUUUGCCGACUGUAAUAUAUAUGUUCUUCACAGCCGAUAAAAGAAAGGAAAUUUAUUCAUUUUGAUAUCAUUCGCCAAUCAGCACCAGCGACUAAGAGGGGUAAUUUCGUCUUUUAAAAAAUCCACCAGUCCCGAAAGGCAAAAGGUUCUUCAAGUUUGCUAGAUCAUUUCAUCUCUGUGCUGGGACUUUGGUGAAGAAGCGGCCGUCGUUGAGAAAAAAACAUCGAGGUACAAUCCAAGAGAUGGAGAGUUUCCAUACUUGACAAAUUUAUGUUAUGUUGAUCUAGAUUAGGUUUAUAGUUUGGCGCUGCAUUCAUUUGUUCUUGAUGAGACAUAUGCUUGAUGUUGUUUAUUGUAUGGCUGUAUAUAUGUUUAUGUAUAUAUUUCCCUGACGUCUCUUUGUUAAUUUUCCUUAAUGAUACUGUAUGUGAAACUUCGCAGCUUUUUUCCCUUGCAAAGUGAAAUAAUUUGUUGUUAAUUGCUUAUAAUUUCUUCUUCGCGUUUUUAUAAUAUGCAGAUGCUUUAUGUAACAGUAAUAUUGUACAUAUACAACAUGUUUCCCUGCAGCUUUUUUGUCCCUCUUAUAAGACUUACUGUUUUUUUUUUAUUUUAAAAAUUGAUUUUCAUGUCGUCCUUGCAGAAGGCUGCAUUUGUAAAAUGGUGAGUGAGUGUCUUGAAUGAUGCUCUGAAGACAUACAAAGCACGACUAAUUUCUUUACUUUAUUCAUUCUCUAUUUCAAGUCUUCUCGACUCCUAUUUGAUUGUAAAUUCUGAUUUUCAG
RNAcentral lists this long non-coding RNA (5594 nucleotides) under Panax ginseng (ginseng). RNAcentral describes it as "long non-coding RNA (PGIN_LNC003395)". The record is from RNAcentral. Lineage: Eukaryota; Viridiplantae; Streptophyta; Magnoliopsida; Apiales; Araliaceae.